UACGGAGGAUCCAAGCGUUAUCCGGAAUCAUUGGGUUUAAAGGGUCCGUAGGCGGGAUAAUAAGUCAGCGGUGAAAGUCUGUGGCUCAACCAUAGAAUUGCCAUUGAUACUGUUGUCCUUGAGUUACUGUGAAGUGGUUGGAAUACGUAGUGUAGCGGUGAAAUGCAUGGAUAUUACAUAGAAUACCGAUUGCGAAGGCAGAUCACUAAUAAUGUACUGACGCUGAGGGACGAAAGCGUAGGUAGCGAACAGG
This 253-nucleotide unclassified non-coding RNA is filed under the name uncultured Flavobacteriaceae bacterium. RNAcentral's name for it is "contains 16S-23S intergenic spacer region". It matches the Rfam family "Bacterial small subunit ribosomal RNA", at positions 524 to 776 of the family's 1533-position model. Lineage: Bacteria; Pseudomonadati; Bacteroidota; Flavobacteriia; Flavobacteriales; Flavobacteriaceae. The record is from RNAcentral.